Molecule: ribosomal RNA, 463 nt
Filed under: uncultured bacterium
Lineage: Bacteria
Description: partial 16S ribosomal RNA
Rfam family: Bacterial small subunit ribosomal RNA
Source: RNAcentral
GAUGAACGCUGACAGAAUGCUUAACACAUGCAAGUCGAUGGGGAAGUGGUGCUUGCACCAUGGCAACCACGGCGGACGGGUGAGUAACGCGUAAGGGACUUACCUGCAGGACUGGGAUAACAGGGGGAAACUCCUGACAAGACCGGAUAAUGUCAUGGAGCUGCAUGGCUUUAUGAUGAAAGGAGACGCCUGCGGAGAGCCUUGCGUCCUAUUAGCUAGUUGGUGAGGUAAUGGCUCACCAAGGCGAAGAUAGGUAGCCGGCCUGAGAGGGUGGACGGCCACAAGGGGACUGAGAUACGGCCCUUACUCCUACGGGAGGCAGCAGUGGGGAAUAUUGGACAAUGGGGGCAACCCUGAUCCAGCAAUUCUGUGUGCACGAAGAAGGUUUUCGGAUUGUAAAGUGCUUUCAGCAGGGAAGAAGUAAGUGACGGUACCUGCAGAAGAAGCGACGGCUAAAUACGUG